Long non-coding RNA from Cucurbita moschata (crookneck pumpkin), 2038 nucleotides. RefSeq lists it as uncharacterized. The record is from RefSeq and is a predicted model, not a curated record. NCBI's taxonomy places the organism in Eukaryota, Viridiplantae, Streptophyta, Magnoliopsida, Cucurbitales, Cucurbitaceae. The transcript is spliced from 6 exons.
UGAAAACUCUUUUGAAAGCAAACAAGGCGUCAGGAUAGAUUAAAGGCCCAUUUUAAUGAACUAACAUCCACAGACGGUCUAAAUUAAUCGGUAUAUCUUUUGAAAGCGUCGGCCAUUCUUUCCCGCCACACGGCGGACCGGGGGAAGAGUUUUUCCUUAUGCGACUCUAUUGGCCCAACGCGGAAGUGCUUUUCAACGGAGGCCUACCGUUGUGUCCUCUGAUAAUCUCCCUCUCCAUGGAUCUUUUGUAAAGCCCAAUCAGGAAGUAGGAGGAACCGAAGAAGUUGAUGAGCUUAUCAAUGGCGUCUCGAGCACUGAAUCAGAGCCUAAAUCGUAGUUAUGGUGUAGGGUUAAUAAGAAAGAAGGUACAAGAAGAUGGGGACAGCCUUGAGAGCGUGUUUAAGCUGCGAAAUGGAAGGGAGAUUGGUGUUCUCCGGAAGGAAUUAGAGUCCGUCUGGAUGCAUCGAAAACAGUACAGAAGCUGACGCUUGCUGUUCCUAUACCAGUAGUUUCUUUGGAUGGGUACACAAAUUCUGGGAAGAGUACGCUCUUGAAUCAGUUGGUUGCAGAGGAUUGAUUGUUUGCAACCACCUUUAAUCCAGCUGCAAGAAGGGUUCAGAUGAAAAAUGGAAACGAGUUUCUACUUGCCGACACUGUUGGUUUCAUCCAAAAGUUACCAACUAUGCUGCCAUCCGCUGGCUGAUCAACAGAUAGAGGCUGUGGAUAAAGUUCUUUUAGAAUGGGAUGUGUCGUCGAUUCCGAGGUUGAUGGUUUGGAACAAGGUGGGGGGGAAAUCUUAUGGAAUACGAUCCUUUACCCACCCCUCACCACAAGGAAAAUAAAAGGAAAGAGAGAAGACUACUUGAGAUUUUUAUCUGUGCUUAUUAUAGAUUUCUUUGUCCUUUUUGUCAUUGGCUAUGCUUGUAUGGAUUUGCUUUACUGGAAUCUCUUUAUAGUUUAUUCUCUCUCUUUUAUUCUUCAGAAGAUAGAUGGGACAAUAAACAGUUCUUUUUAAAAAAAAAAUAAAAUUCUCUCAAGUAUGUUAAACUAAAAACGGUUUUUCAAAUGGGUUUCUGUUUUUCUCGUAGCCUAAUCUUUUAGCUAAUGUUAUUCUCUGCCUUUAUAGCCAUUAUGUGGAAUAGAGAAAGAGAGAUAUUGGGAGAGGUUUGGUCCUCAGUUAGGUUCUAUACCUCUCUUUGGUGUUGGUGUCUAAAGAGUUUUGUAUUUAUCCUUAGUUUCUUAUUCUUAACGGACUGAUGGAGCCCCUUCUUGUAGUUUUGUUUGGCAUUGUCCCCUUUUGGUUUCAUUUGCUCCAUGGAAGUUUGGUGUCUAAUUCUAAAGAAAAUCCUGUAGCUUAUGUAAAGGAUCCUUGUUUGUAAUUCUAUGGACAAAUUCAAGUUUCUUCUCUAAUUCCUAUGUGCGUCUAACUACAAAUUGUCAAACGGCAGGUUGACAAGGUUAGUGAUCCUCAAAAUAUUAGAGGGGAUGUUACGUGUGUACAUGUGAGAUCCCACGUAACAUUCCUUAUAAAGGUGUGAAAACCUCUCCUUAGUAGACGUGUUUCAAAACUGUGAAGCUGAUAGCGAUACGUGAUAGGUCAAAGCGGAUAAUCUCUGCACCGAGUGAUGAUGGUUUGGACGAAUUCUGCUAUGCAGUUCAGGGAAAAUUGAAGGACUCAGUGGUUUGGGUAGAAGCCUUGAUUCAGUUUGACAGAGGCGAGUUCUUGAGCACUGUGUAUCAGGUUGGAGUGGUAGAGAAAACUGUAAGUAAAUCCUCCAUCCUUUCUGAUUUCCAUUUAGUUUUCUUGUUAUGCACAGUUGGAAGAUUUUUAAAUAUCUUGAGAGUGCAUUUGGUUGAAGCAAUUUGUUAGUGUAUUUAAAAAAAUGGUGGUAGGAAGAGUAGCCUAUUUAAAAAAUGUGUCAACAAAUUGACAUCUACUCUUUUUCUUUUUCUUGAGGUCGGCUGUAGGAAGAGCCGCUCAUAAAGUUCGACACUGUCCUAGAUGGUAAGAAAUGAAAAAUAAUGAUGUUGGAUGACC